Molecule: long non-coding RNA, 908 nt
Organism: Nicotiana tabacum (common tobacco)
Lineage: Eukaryota; Viridiplantae; Streptophyta; Magnoliopsida; Solanales; Solanaceae
Source: RefSeq, a predicted model, not a curated record
CGAAAUUUUGUUUAGAGUGCAUCUACUUUAUAACCAGACCUCAACAGUAAAAAAAUUUACCCGAUCCAGUUUUUCUCCUCUUUGUGAAGAACCCUAAAUCUCCCUCACUUUCAAUUAGUCAUAAUUUUUUGCCAAGAUAUGGAAUUCCAAACUGAAUUAAAGCCUUGUAUCUGAAUCAAAGCCUUAUUCUUCUCUGAAAGCUUUCGUUUCAUCUGAUUUUAGGGCAUAUUUUAAGUGGGCCGAAAUUUCUUCUGAUUUUAGGAGUUUUUUCUGAUUUUCUGUGUCGCACAUAAUGCGGUCAACUAACUUGGCUAUGCUUUAUAUGAAAGAUGUUGAUCCUGUAUUAAAUGAAAAGGUGAGCUACAACCAUGCUUAGGUGUUACGGAUGUUGACAGUUUGGACCCUUACGAAUCUGAGUAGAUGAUAUUGGGUGUAUCCAUACUAUGGGAGUCCAAGAUCUUGUGAUUUUUUAUGUUGGAGGGACGCCGAAAUUAAUCGAAGAACGAAAUUUGUUAUUCGUAAACUUGCGGAAAAAAUUGGUGAUCUUGAAAGUGAAUUAGAAGUUUAUGAAACUGUUGAGAAGCGUAAGGAAAGAAAACAAGUGAAAAAGAAGAUAGAGAUACAAUUGGAGAAGUUGGAGGGAAAGAUAGAGAAGAUGAAAGAAAGGGAAACGAAGUAGAGGAGCAGAUUGGUUAAGUCCAAGAUUAGGAAAAAAAUACUUUGAUUUUUUAUGUUGUAUGAAUGUGUUAGCUAUAAGCUUUUGGUUUCAUCUAGUAUAUGUGGAGAAUGUUGCAACAAAGUUGCCUAGGCUUUGUUACGAUUGUAAUUUCUUUAGUGUUGCAUCAAUUAGUUGUAGCAUUUUUUGUAAAAACUUGGGGUAACUUUUGUAACAUAAUACACUUUGUUCA